This 559-nucleotide ribosomal RNA is filed under the name uncultured bacterium. Its description in RNAcentral is "bacterial SSU rRNA". It matches the Rfam family "Bacterial small subunit ribosomal RNA", at positions 119 to 674 of the family's 1533-position model. The record is from RNAcentral.
CGGAAUCUACUCUGUCGUGGGGGAUAACGUAGGGAAACUUACGCUAAUACCGCAUACGACCUACGGGUGAAAGCAGGGGACCUUCGGGCCUUGCGCGAUUGAAUGAGCCGAUGUCGGAUUAGCUAGUUGGCGGGGUAAAGGCCCACCAAGGCGACGAUCCGUAGCUGGUCUGAGAGGAUGAUCAGCCACACUGGAACUGAGACACGGUCCAGACUCCUACGGGAGGCAGCAGUGGGGAAUAUUGGACAAUGGGCGCAAGCCUGAUCCAGCCAUACCGCGUGGGUGAAGAAGGCCUUCGGGUUGUAAAGCCCUUUUGUUGGGAAAGAAAUCCAGCUGGCUAAUACCCGGUUGGGAUGACGGUACCCAAAGAAUAAGCACCGGCUAACUUCGUGCCAGCAGCCGCGGUAAUACGAAGGGUGCAAGCGUUACUCGGAAUUACUGGGCGUAAAGCGUGCGUAGGUGGUCGUUUAAGUCCGUUGUGAAAGCCCUGGGCUCAACCUGGGAACUGCAGUGGAUACUGGGCGACUAGAGUGUGGUAGAGGGUAGCGGAAUUCCUGGU